CCCUUAGAUGUUCUGGGCCGCACGCGUGCUACACUGAUGCAUUCAACGAGUCUAAAACCUGGUCUGAUAGGGCUGGGUAAUCUUUUGAAAGUGCAUCGUGAUUGGGAUAGAUGAUUGCAAUUCUUCAUCUUCAACGAGGAAUGCCUAGUAAACGCAAGUCAUCAGCUUGCAUUGAUUACAUCCCUGCCCUUUGUACACACCGCCCGUCGCUCCUACCGAUUGAGUGAUCCGGUGAGGCUCUGGGACCUGGACGGAAAGAGCGUUUCGCUUGUUCUGUUUGGGAAACUUGGUCGAACCUUAUCAUUUAGAGGAAGGAGAAGUCGUAACA
This 328-nucleotide ribosomal RNA is filed under the name uncultured eukaryote. RNAcentral's name for it is "partial 18S ribosomal RNA". It matches the Rfam family "Eukaryotic small subunit ribosomal RNA", at positions 1470 to 1796 of the family's 1831-position model. The record is from RNAcentral.